Molecule: ribosomal RNA, 1157 nt
Filed under: Staphylococcus aureus
Lineage: Bacteria; Bacillati; Bacillota; Bacilli; Caryophanales; Staphylococcaceae
Description: partial 23S ribosomal RNA
Rfam family: Bacterial large subunit ribosomal RNA
Source: RNAcentral
GACAAACUCCGAAUGCCAAUUAAUUUAACUUGGGAGUCAGAACAUGGGUGAUAAGGUCCGUGUUCGAAAGGGAAACAGCCCAGACCACCAGCUAAGGUCCCAAAAUAUAUGUUAAGUGGAAAAGGAUGUGGCGUUGCCCAGACAACUAGGAUGUUGGCUUAGAAGCAGCCAUCAUUUAAAGAGUGCGUAAUAGCUCACUAGUCGAGUGACACUGCGCCGAAAAUGUACCGGGGCUAAACAUAUUACCGAAGCUGUGGAUUGUCCUUUGGACAAUGGUAGGAGAGCGUUCUAAGGGCGUUGAAGCAUGAUCGUAAGGACAUGUGGAGCGCUUAGAAGUGAGAAUGCCGGUGUGAGUAGCGAAAGACGGGUGAGAAUCCCGUCCACCGAUUGACUAAGGUUUCCAGAGGAAGGCUCGUCCGCUCUGGGUUAGUCGGGUCCUAAGCUGAGGCCGACAGGCGUAGGCGAUGGAUAACAGGUUGAUAUUCCUGUACCACCUAUAAUCGUUUUAAUCGAUGGGGGGACGCAGUAGGAUAGGCGAAGCGUGCGAUUGGAUUGCACGUCUAAGCAGUAAGGCUGAGUAUUAGGCAAAUCCGGUACUCGUUAAGGCUGAGCUGUGAUGGGGAGAAGACAUUGUGUCUUCGAGUCGUUGAUUUCACACUGCCGAGAAAAGCCUCUAGAUAGAAAAUAGGUGCCCGUACCGCAAACCGACACAGGUAGUCAAGAUGAGAAUUCUAAGGUGAGCGAGCGAACUCUCGUUAAGGAACUCGGCAAAAUGACCCCGUAACUUCGGGAGAAGGGGUGCUCUUUAGGGUUAACGCCCAGAAGAGCCGCAGUGAAUAGGCCCAAGCGACUGUUUAUCAAAAACACAGGUCUCUGCUAAACCGUAAGGUGAUGUAUAGGGGCUGACGCCUGCCCGGUGCUGGAAGGUUAAGAGGAGUGGUUAGCUUCUGCGAAGCUACGAAUCGAAGCCCCAGUAAACGGCGGCCGUAACUAUAACGGUCCUAAGGUAGCGAAAUUCCUUGUCGGGUAAGUUCCGACCCGCACGAAAGGCGUAACGAUUUGGGCACUGUCUCAACGAGAGACUCGGUGAAAUCAUAGUACCUGUGAAGAUGCAGGUUACCCGCGACAGGACGGAAAGACCCCGUGGAGCUUUACUG